CCCGCACAAGCGGUGAGCAUGUGGUUUAAUUCGAUGCAACGCGAAGAACCUUACCUGGGCUUGACAUCCCGAGAAUCCCCUGGGAAACAGGGGAGUGCCUUUCGGGGAACUCGGAGACAGGUGCUGCAUGGCUGUCGUCAGCUCGUGUCGUGAGAUGUUGGGUUAAGUCCCGCAACGAGCGCAACCCUUGUCUUUAAUUGCCAGCAUUCAGUUGGGCACUUUAAAGAGACUGCCGGUGUUAAGCCGGAGGAAGGUGGGGAUGACGUCAAGUCCUCAUGGCCUUUAUGCCCAGGGCUACACACGUGCUACAAUGGGUGGUACAAAGAGAUGCCAACUCGCGAGAGCGCGCCAAUCUCAGAAAGCCAUCCUCAGUUCGGAUUGGAGUCUGCAACUCGACUCCAUGAAGUUGGAAUCGCUAGUAAUCGCGGAUCAGCACGCCGCGGUGAAUACGUUCCCGGGCCUU
Molecule: ribosomal RNA, 463 nt
Filed under: uncultured Syntrophus sp.
Lineage: Bacteria; Pseudomonadati; Thermodesulfobacteriota; Syntrophia; Syntrophales; Syntrophaceae
Description: bacterial SSU rRNA
Rfam family: Bacterial small subunit ribosomal RNA
Source: RNAcentral